RNAcentral lists this small RNA (374 nucleotides) under Ktedonobacter sp. Its description in RNAcentral is "T-box sequence". The stretch from base 223 to 295 matches the Rfam family "tRNA". The record is from RNAcentral. Lineage: Bacteria; Bacillati; Chloroflexota; Ktedonobacteria; Ktedonobacterales; Ktedonobacteraceae.
ACAAAAGCGUUGAGCAGGAGUAGUAGGUCAACAAACACUACAGAGAGUAGCCGGGCGGUGCGAGGCUACAAAUCAAACUGACCGAACUCGCCUGUGAGCAAUAAUUGUGAAGCUUUUAACCAAUAGUACCUAAAAAAAAGCCAAGCAUUUGUCGGGACGCCCGUUAUAGCGUACAAUGAGUGUACAUCAAUCGCUCUCAAUCUUCAGCACAGCAACCAGUAUGGGCCUGUAGCGCAGCUGGAAGAGCGCAUCCAUGGCAUGGAUGAGGUCAGGGGUUCGAGCCCCCUCAGGUCCACCAGCUUUAUCUUAAAAGCUGAGAUCGAGCAUUGAUGACAAUUCAGGGUGGUACCACGGAAUAGCCUUUCGUCCCUAGC